GUAUUCUUCAUAUUUAUUGUAUUUUUCUGCAUGCAAACAUACUUAUUACAUGUUUUUUUAACGGGAAAGCAAAAUCCAGCAAGAAGCUGGAAUGUUACAAUACGAAAAGGAAACAACAACUGGUAUAGUGAAGGGUACACCAUGAUACGAAUAAAAUUCAUAAUGAAUAGAACUACUGCUCGAAUAUUCAUUUGAACCACUUUGAUCUUCUACCCAAAAAUCUAAACCCCAAGAGCAGAAUUAAUAUCCCAAAUAUCACAAAUAUCACGACGCAAGUUAUACGAAGCAUUUUGUAAUCAGAUGGCACAAUUGCAAAGGUGCAAUUAGCAUGGUUUACGGUUAAUACAAUCAUUGAAAUCUGCAAUUCGCGCAUCAAAGGGAAAUCAACAGUGAGCAUGUAAAUCAUGUAAACUGACAUGUAGAACCCUAAGGAAUUCGUAAUAACAAAUACAGCAUAUGGUGCUUGAUUUCUGUGGGUACCCAUAAUAGCUUCUCCAGCAUAGUGGUGUUUAAUGGUAGGAGUACCAUCAUCUGCGAGUUGCGGUAAAGUACUAUUGCCUGUGUCCCCCCAAAGUCCUCCAGGAGGACUAAGUGAGGUUUGAUAUGUUGCAGUUGUGAUAAGUAUAACCACCACAAGAAGGGUAUUCCUAAUUUCGAUAGAAGAGCCUCUGAGUUUAUACUCUAUGAACUUGUCUAACCAAUCUCUAUGCGGAGAAUGAGGGUUUUCAUGUUUAGUUUAUGGUAGACUUAGAUUUUGACUCAUGGUUAUAAUUAGGUUCUAAGAAAAGAAAUCUUGCUAUAUUGAUAUAUUUUACAUGCAAACGCUAACAAAGGGUUUAUAUAAGGAAAUUAGCACGCCAGGUGCAUGUAUCGUAGACCUUGUAAUUGAGUCUAUUGAAGUUACAAGGAAGCUUGUAAUCGGGUCCACUGAAGUUGGAAGAAGCCUCAAAUGGUGUCCUCCAUUCAACUGUUGCCAGUAUUGUGCUUGCUAAGUGACGUUGAGCCAUGACGUUUACAUUAAAGAUGUGGACCUCCAUUCAAAUGAUAACAAUAUUUUUGUUCAUGGAGAUGUGACAAUGGAAUGUACGUACGACGUCCUGAUAAAUAAUUAAAUAUAUACAGACAGUCAAACACUACUAGGGUGUGCAAAAAACCUGUAACCAAACAACUGAACCGUUUUGAAAAAACCGAGGGUUUGGUUAGUUUUUUAAUCGGAUGGUAUUAUUGUUUUGUGUUAAUUUUAGUAUUGCAUAUUGUUAUGCUUUAGAAUCUCAGUUUUCAUUGGGCUGCUACUUAAUCCGUGAAUCUUCUCUUUCUUUGUAUCUUCUCAUUAAAAGACAAAACAAUAGUUGCUGCAUAAAUAAAAUGUAAUACUACAUUUGCUAAUCUUCUCUUUCUUUGUAUUUUUCCAUCGAAGACAAAACAACACAAUAGCAGCCGCUGAAAAAUGAAUAGAAAACAUUAAAAAUAUUCCGCUACAACUUGAAGUUUAAUUUAUUUUCUUUCACAUCAAUUUCAAACCAGUAGAAAACUACUUAGGUAUUGAAAAUCUUUAAGCUAUUGAAAUAAAAUAGAAACUUGAAAUAACGUAUGAGUAUCCGAAAUAGGCCCUAUGAAAAGAAAAAAAAAAAAGAUGUACACCCCUUGUAUAAUGACAUUACACAUAGGAUGAGAAAAAAUCGCAUCACAAAUAAAAUUAACCGCAAAAAUUGCAUAAACCGCUACCUAUAACCCACAACCACAAUAAAAACCGAUGAUGAGGUUUCUGUUUUUCAAAAACCGAAAAUUUGCGGUGCGGUGUGGUUAUUAGUUUUCAAAAACCGCAAAAAACCGCACCGCAUAUGUUAUAUACGAUUUUUUUUAUUAAUUAUUUAUAUAUCAAAUAUUAUAAAUAAGACAAGUUUAAUGGAUGAAAGAUGGAAAAAAUACUAGAAUACAAAACUAUUGGUUUUUGUUAUGUUUAACUUUGAAAAAUGGUAAAAUUCGACAAUUUUAAGAUAUUUAUUGUUAAUUACUAUUGAUUUUACGUUUUUAAGAUAUUAGUUGUUUGUGAUUUAUGUUGAUUGUCUUAUACCAUAUGGUUUUUUUUAUCAUUACAAAUAAUAUGUUUGAACUUUUAAAACCCUUAAUAAUCGCACCAAAUCUAUGCGGUUAAUAACUGCAACAAAAAAAAAACAAAAAACAAAACUGCACCGCAAAAAUAACCGCCUAACUGCACCGCUAAAAUAACUGCACCAAGAGAUUUUGAAAAUGGAUUAACCGCAUUUGCAGUUAGUGGUGAGGUUUUGGUUAAUAACCAUACCGCGCUCACCCCUAAUUACACAUGUUUGAUGUUCAUGCCUUGGAAUACCCACGAAAGGAAAUUUGCUUCAAUUGUCUAGCACAUAAGUGGCAAGUUUAAAUGCAUUUAAUUUCUCAUAUAGUUUUUAUGUACAAAAGUAUAAUCCAUGGUAACAUCCAAGAAAAGUUACAGUUACCAGUUACCGACAAUUAUUCUCAUAAUAUUGGAUACAUACAAAAAAUAAAGAUCAAUCAACUAUAUCAACAAUACACAAAAGUACACCGGACUUGAUUUGAAAUGAUCCUAUAUUAUCCGGAGGUACUAUACAUGACAUUAUAGGCUUUAAAUCGCUCCAAGUUAGAUCACCAAUGUCAGACUAGCCCACUUGGUUGGGGUUUUGCCUCUAGAUUUGAGGUAUUGGUUUCUAAAUCAUGUGUUAACAAUUUCUACUCACCAGCUGUUCAAAAGAAGAAAUCUCCAAGAGCAUGUACUACCCAUUCUCGACUCAUCUGAGAUCAUGCAUCCUAAUACAUUUUUUAUUCAGUAUGGUCGCAUGUGGUAUCACUAAAAGCAAAGCAAUUGAAAUGCAAACAAAACCAAAUGUUAAGGAACCUUUGUUAACUUAACGUGACGAAUUUAUGUUUUACACAACAAGAGUUUAAUUUUGUGCACGAAAGGAUAAAGAGGAAGAAUACACACACGCCACUAUUUCAAUGUGUGUUUCUUGAUACAAUUAAAAAGGAAAACGAAGUGGCAUGAAAGGAUUACAUGAAAAACGAAUGCAAGAAUAAAAUAGCGAGUUGUAUAAACCCUAGUAUACAAGGGUUAGUUGAGUCGAACGGUUUGACUUGUUGACUUUAUUUGACUUUGACUUGACUAGCAUUUGACGGUUGUCACAACAUGUCAUCGGUAUAGCGUGGCUUUUGCCGACGACCUAUUUUGUUUGCGUAAGUGUCGUAUCCAUAGGGCUAGAUCCUUGUAGUGUUUACUGGUUUUUCUAAGGAGAUGGGUUCUGAAGUUCUAAAUAUAUACAAGUUUUCAAUGGCAGUUCUGGAUUGAGAAAGUCAUGCUUAUGCUUCCUAGAUUCUCUAUCGUCACUGAAGUUGAAUAAGCGAGGACACCAUAAUGUUGACUCUGAUACAGAUCAAGAACACUUAUGUCAUCUUCUUGAUGGUAAAGCUGAAUUUUCUGAUUUUUGACUUGAUCUGGAUGAGAAACACAAAUAUUUAUGACAAAACUUUCAAAAUGGUACCUACAGUUUCACGAAAUCUGAAGUUUGGUCCCUAAUUUACAAAAACCUUACGGAUGGUCCAUGUGGUUUCAAAACUUUUAAUGUUUAGUCAUUCCGUCUAACUCUGUCAUCUUUCUACCGUUAAGUGAGGGGCAUUUUCGUCAUUUCAAUACCUAGGGACCAUUUAUGAAGGUUUUCUAUUAUUUUAAAUAAAAAUAAAAAAUGAAACCUCUCUCUCUCUCUCUCUAUGUGUGUGUGUGUAAAACCAAGACUCCAUCUCCACGAUUCCAUCGUCGCCUGUCGCCUCUCUCAAUCAUGUUUGCAAAAAAAGUUCCUGAAAUCCUUAAAUAAAUCGAUUUUGCAGAUCAGAUCUUUGAAACUCAAUUAAAAACAAACACAAAAAGCAAAGCAAAGCACUUACAAUUGAAGAAGGUUGUACAGGUGUAUCUUCCAUAGCAUUGGUAGUUCCAUUUAAAUGCUGAGAGACAAUAAGCAUAAUCUGGUGCAACAAAUUGGACAAAAAAGCCCCUUCUUCAGUGACCACUAGCAAUAGCACACCCAUAGAGCUUUAGGAAGCUUCAGAAGGCGGCACUAAAAUCCUAAUGGGGACUACCAACACCUCUGAUCCCCUACUUUGCCUAAGGGCAUUUUCAUGAUUCGUAACUCCACUAUCAGCAGGAGUUGCUGCUGCUGAGCGCUCUCCACCACCAUUUGUUUCCCUUAUCACUAAACUAAAGAAAGUGCAUAUAAGAAGUUAAUGGAAUGGAAAUCCAUUAAAAUCAGAAUGUGAGAAUAGUAAUAGUGUAAUAUACAUGUAUGUAUUUUGAUAUCAAUAUUCUGUGGACGUAAACCAAAACCAAAAUUAUUAGUGCCAGAGGCUGACCCUGUGACUACUACAGUUACAGAUGGAGGUGGAGGUGGAUGUGUGGUUGUUCAAAAACUACUGCCAGGUUGAAAAGGUAGAGGCUACAUCAUUGUUGGAUUUGACCCAGAUGUUGAUACGAAACCAACGAUGUUGCUCUGGACAUAAAACGCCAUCUCCACGGCGUUUCAAGGCGACACUGACAUGGGUUCCUACCAAUCUGGCUGGUCCGGUGACUAAAACAGAGAACCCGUUUCUUAAUUUUGUGAAUGAUUUCAUUGGGGUUGCUAAUCGAUUUCAUGCCUGUUACUCAGGCUCAAUUUCUUGGUGAACUUUUAGGAGAGAGAGAAAGAGAGAGAGAGAGAGAGAGAGAGAGAGAGAGAGAGAGAGACCCUUUUUAUGAUGCUCGUGAUUUGACAUGUUGACGAAAGGAGGAAGAGGAUUGUCUAAGAAUAAAGAUCCACCUUCAGACUACGAUGAGGGAGGAAGAGAAGGCUGGGAUGGGGAUCUGUGACAACCCAAAGUUAUCCAUCGCCGAAACCCAAUUCGUUCGUAAGACCCGUUUUUAGCAAUUCGUUUCCGAUUUCGUAAUUAAAUUAAGUCAUUAAUUUGAAAUUAUUAUUACGACUUAAUGGGUGUCUCAACACAUUUAGAACUCAUUUUAGCACCCCCAUUCUAGUUAUCGCAAAAAUUUAAGAAUCAACCAUAUCGGGUUACGGCAACUUUAUCGGGUUUGACCAAAAGCCACGUCUAACGUCGGUAUCGGGUAGAAUUCCACCGUGUCCAAAUCUUAAACAAUAUUUAAAGAUGUUUAAGCUUCCAUUUGAAGCUUUUUCCCUCUCUCACUACUCUCUCUCUAACCUCUCUCCUCAAACCAAAGAACUAGGUCCAAAACUCCAAUUUAAGGCUCCAAAUCCUUGAGGUAACUUCCCUAACUUGUUAUUCAACCUCCUUAGCCUUCAAAUCCGAAUUUAAACUUUGAUUUUGGACCUCAAACAUGAGUUUAUGGCCAAGGAGCACGCUUGGCCCGUAAACACCUAAUAAGAGGGUUUUUAUGCCUUUAAACCUCUCCAAACCAAUUUUGGGACUUAGAUACGACUAUAUGGCUUACCAUUCUGGACUUAGAACACCCUAAACAUGAAUUUUGAGGAGUAAACAUGAGUUUAUUGCCCAAAAUCAUGCUUGGGCUGUAAACUCAUCAUUCAUGGAGAGUAAACUCAAAACCAAGUGUUUAAAAGCCAUUUAAACACACCAUUAGCCUUGGAAUAAAUCCUAGAACCAACCAAAAUCAAUUUGGGGACCCUAAACAUAAUAAAAACUCUUCAUUUGAGAGUUUACGGCCAUAAAUCCCCAAGAAAUAGUUCCAGGGCCGUAAACUCAUAAAAACAUGUUAAAUGGUGCCCUAAACUCAUUCUAAGGCUUGUAAAAAUAGUUUGAAUCACAGGUGAUUGUCCUAGCUUCACAAAAUAAAUUAAGGAUUGAGCAUGGGGGAGUUUACGGUCGUAAACUCCAUGUUUACUGCCAUAAACUCCAAUAAAUGGUCCUUAAGUGACUUUAAUCCAUUCCAAGGCCCUAGAUUAAAACCUAGCUAAUUUUCCCAAGUGUUAUCAUGCCAUUUAACACCAUAAAACCCCUAAUCAUGAGUUCACGGCCGUUAACUCAUGUGGUUAUGGUCUUAGGGCCGAAAACUCCAUAAGGAGUUUACUCUUGAAGAGUAAACUCAUUUACCAAGUCCCACACGUCCUUAGAUGUCACCCGGGUCGCUCCAAACGCUUUAUUUGAGGUGUUUUCGCAUCCUAGAGUAAAUAGUCAUAUCUAAUUAGUGAAUUAAAGUCUAAUUAGAUACAAAUGUGUAUCAUUUCACAUUACAUAGGAACCUCGCACAUUUUCAAGCCUUGAACUGACGUUUAGCAUCCAAACCGACACAUUCCGCGAUUGGUGAGUUCAUACCCCUACGCCUUUUUCCGUGUUUUUCAAUGUUUUCAGGAGGGAAUACAAGAAAAAUAUUAAAUGUUAUCAAAACAUAAAACUGAUAUAUUUCUAUAAAUAUCUGGCUAACCUUUAGAUAUCUUUACCCCUUAUGUAUUAUGCUGAGCAUAAGGGAUGUUUUAUCGAUUAUAACUACAUGGAUUUCAGUAAAGGAAACAAUCAAAUUAAUCAAAUUAUUAUGGGAAUAAUUUGGGAUCUUUAGUUCUUCUUUAAUGAGUACAGAUUUAUGUAAAGUUAAUAGAUAAACUAUGUCGGAUUCAGUUUAUCUCCGUUUAAUUUAGAAUAUAUUACCAGAUAACUUCAUUGUAUUUAACUAUUUCUAUUGUAUUAUGUUUCGAUACGAUUUGUAUGUCUGAUAACGUCUGAGAACCCCAUGAAUAACAUGAUACUAGCUUGUGAGAUUCGUCAUUGUUAUCAGUAAAUCCUCCCCGGAAGUGUAACCAGAGUCUCCUGGAGGGAGAGCGUGGAAUUUGUGAAUAGAGCUAUUCGGGACUGACAAUCCCACACCUUAACUGCUAGCUACAGUUAGGCGGGCAUGCCUGGGGUGACAAGUUCUGGAAAUCGUCCGACGUCUGACAAACGUCAAGGAGGUCUCGGUGUCGCAUUAGCAUGGUUACCCGACUCACAAUACGUAUUAAUAUAAGUUUAUUCACGGAUUGAAUUUCAUAUCUACUUUCUAUCUAUAGUUCCUAUAUCUAGUACGAAAGAUAGUCCCAUGAUUUUAAAUCUAUAUCUAGUACGGGAUGAUAGUCCCGUGCUUUUCAAUCUAUAUCUAGUAUGGGAUGAUAGUCCCAUGGUUUUCAAUCUAUAUCUAGUACGGGAUGAUAGUCCCAUGGUUUUCAAUCUAUAUCUAUACGGGAUGAUAGUCACAUGGUUUUCAAUCUGUAUCUAUCCUUAGUUUUCAUGUAUCAAGGCUAUCUUAUAUCUGGUACGGGAUAGUAAUCUCAGGAUUUUCAGUAAAUAGUUUUAUGCGUAAAACUAUACAAUGUGGUUCUUAACUAAAACUUUACUUUUAGGAAAAUAUAGGAUUUUCCUGGGAUAACACUGUACAUAACCAUAAUCGUGUAAGAAAACAGUUAACCAAACAUUACUUUUAAGAAAAUAUGGGAUUUUCUUGGAUUCAUAACUUUUUCGGAAAAACAAAGGAAACUUAAACAUUUUCAGAAAAACAAACAUCUUAUGAACUCACCAGCUUUAUGCUGAUUUUCAAACUGCUUGUAUUCUCAGGUCCAUAUUAGACAGGUACCCAGCGAUCCUUUUUAGAGAAGACGGAGCGUACUGAAGAACUCGUCUUAUCUUCUGUUCAUAUAUACCUAUGUAUAACACUUGUGAUACUUUACUUUUGAACAAUUGUAAAUUUCAAUAUGUAAUGUAAUGGUUGUUUACUUUGCUUACUAUGUGCAUUGGAUUUGAUACUCAACGUGGAGUCCGCCCCGAAAAUGUUUCCGCCUUCGGUUUUCGGGGUGCGACAGAUUGGUAUCAGAGACCUUGUUUAUAGUGAACUAGUAUACCAAACCUUACAUGGUAUAAGACUAUAAACACUAAGGGGCCUAAGUGCUCUGAACUAAAAGUAUCCUUCAAAAUAUAAGUAUUUUCAAAAGUAUACAAGUAUACCGAACCAUCGAGAUUCGUAAUCACAAGUAAAACAAAACAUAUGUAAAUGGGUGUUGUGUACUACGGUUAAACCUGGGCAGUUAUGUAGUUGUGUCUAGGAUCAAUAUAGCCUGGCCAACUAUAUUCAUUCGAGACACGGCUAACAUGUUCUUGGGAGUGACUGUGGUAUGCGGCAUGCCUAAAACUUACCCAAUACCCAAACAACGAGCCAUCGCUACAGCGAAUCAUGAAAUACUAUAGGAGUAUUUCUCAAGCCAAACCCAUUAUAGAAAUUCUCAUUGCAGCGUUGAUCCUCGAUCAUUCCCUUAGCGAUAGCUAAUCUGCUUUGUUAACUCUUUCCUGCUUUAUUGCUUAAUAGAAUACCAUAUAUCUGUCUUAAUGAGAUAUCUCUUGUCCCAUAUCUCUUGAUUCAAUUUAGAGGACUUAUGAUCCUCUCUUUCCCGAUCUUAUUAGAUCAAUAUGCCUCCAAGAAAGAGACCCAGCUCAAAAACCAACAACCCUCCGCCACUACCUUCUCCUCAAAUUGAUCUUGUAACGCUUCAGGCAGCUAUUACUGCCGCAGUGACAACCGCCAUGUCACAAAGAAACCCCGGUAGUUUAGGAGGUGGUCCCCAACACCAAAACCAAGAAGAUAACCAGGGACACCGAAAGAAGGGUUCCUAUAAAGAUUUCAUGAGCGCAAAACCCACAUCCUUGAUGGCAUUGGAGGUGUCAUUUUCCUCACCCAAUGGUUCGAGAAGAUCGAAUCCAUCUUUGAAAUUUGUGCAUGCUCAGAAUCUGACAAAUUGAAGUAUGUCGCCUGCACCUUCAUCGAUAAAGCCCCGACUUGGUGGAAUGCCCGAGUCAAAUCCUUAACUUUACCUGUAGCCAACGCCAUGGGUUGGGAAGCCAUGAAGUAACUUCUACUGGCUGAGUACUGCCCUCGGGGCGAAAUGCAGAAGUUAGAACACGAACUCUGGAACCUGAAGAUGAAGGGUUCUGAUAUCGUCGCUUACACUUCCAGGUUCGAUGACUUGGCACUAUUCUACCCGGGAAUGGUUACCCCAGAGAGUAAGAAGAUAGAGAGAUUCAUCUGGGGGUUGACCCAGCCAACAAAAGGAAACCUCUUAGUUGCGAGGCCGAAUACAUAUGACAGCUCCAAAUGCUUAGCACGAAUCUUAAUCGACCAUAGUGAUGACCUUGAGGAAACAACUACUACUCCUGAGCCGACGGAGAGGAGUGGUGAGAAAAGGAAAAUUGGAAAGAAGAAGGAAUGUCAGACAUUGCAGGAGUCUUCAAAGAGGCAUCAACUUGUGGCAGUUCACGCUGCUACUACCCCUGCAACUAUUUCUGUUGUUGGAUCCUCAGCUCGAAAACCUACCAGUAGGUAUGCGGGAACCCUCCCUAGUUGUGACAAGUGCAAAUAUCAUCACCUCACUUCCAGCCCAGGUAUAGAGAUGUUUUGCAACAGUUGUGGCAUAAAGGGUCACAUGGAGAAAAACUGUAAGACACCAACUCAUUCAACCAAUCAAGCUUCCGGAGCGGGCAUUGGUCAAGCCUGCUAUGGUUGCGGAGAAGUUGGGCAUCUCAAGCGAAACUGCCCUAAGGCAGUAACAUCUGGCAACACCGGAAGAGUCCUAGCGAUAGGACGAGAGGAAAGAACCACCGAUCCCACCGUUGCCAUAGGUAUAAUUCCCCUCGAUGAAUCUUAUGCCUGUGAUUCUUUUCGAUUCUAAUGCUAAAAGAAAUUUGCUAACCAUUCAUUCAAACAUCUUUCUAAACUUUGUCCUUCGUUAGUAAUCAAAAAUGUGUACCGUCGAGAUGGUUAACAAGUAAGAAGGAGAACGCUAACGUCAUAUCCAUAGAUUGUAUCCUCAAUCCGGACAAUUAUUCUUUUCCAUUCGAUCUAAUGGCAAACUUUUCAUGAAAUGCUUUGAUACCAUCUUUGGCAUGUAAUGACCGAGCCUCAUUGAUGUUGUUAUUCUUGGUUUCGAGAAAGCCAUCCAUCUUAAAUUUUCCCCGAAACAACUCUCAUGAUCUUCGUGCAUCAAAUCUUAAAAAGUUUUCCCAUGUAUUUCUCGUCCGUGUGAUCAACGAGAAACUAGAAGUCUACAACUCUUCCCCCGAUGCCUUUUUCGAAGAAUUCCUGAGAAUUCUUCCUGAACGUGUAAUCAAGUCUCGCAUCGACCUAAUCCCUGGAAUUACCUCAUAGCCAAAAACCUCAGUGAGAAUGAUGUGUCCAAGACAACAACCAGGACUUGAUAUGAUCACUACGAGUUAGUAGUGGUACCCUUUGGUCAAAUCAUUUUCCUUAGUCAUGUAGAUAAGCAAAGCAGUCAUACCCGUGGACCUUUCCAAAAACUAUGGCGAUAGAGAUUUAGUCAGCACUGGAGAUACCCAUAGAAAACCCGUCAAUCCAUGGGUCCCGCUGGCUAAUAUCGCAGACCCACCUAGAAAUUUCCUUUAGAAUCGUUAAACCUUUAGCUAUUCUACCAUAUGAAGAUGUACCCUCUUGUUGGAAGUCUUACUCUGGAGAGACAUAGUACGCCUUGAGAAGUGCGGAAAACUUAACUCGUGGUACAUUAGAACCUUCGAGAUCCUCGUUAGGAAUCGAUUCCGUAGCCCUCUCCGAGCUAUCUUCAGAACUCAGCAGCAACCAUCUGGUAUUCCAUAUCUUUGUUCAUAAGAAGUGCCGACUCGACGAAACCCUAGUAAUCCCUUUGAUGAGAUCGAAAUCAACGGAAACCCAAACCUCCAUAGAAGAAUCAAUUGAGAUCAUGGAUUGAGAGGUUGAACGUACGAAGCAAAGCCGCAUCCCGGUAGUGAGGGUUCGCUGGAAUGUCAAGCGGAGACCCGAUUCCACUUAGGAGCGUGAAGACCCGAUGCAGUAGAUUCAUUCUCGUCAUUCUUUUCACUUCAUGAUCUGUAUCCAAAUCUUUGAAUUUCGGGACGAAAUUCCCUCUAACGGGGGGAUAAUGUGACAACCCGAAGUUAUCCAUCGCCGAAACCCAAUUCUUUCGUAAGACCCGUUUUUAGCAAUUCGUUUCCGAUUUCGUAAUUAAAUUAAGUCAUUAAUUUGAAAUUAUUAUUACGAAUUAAUGGGUGUCUCAACACAUUUAGAACUCAUUUUAGCACCCCAUUCUAGUUAUCAGAAAAAUUUUAGAAUUAACCAUAUCGGGUUACGGCAACUUUAUCGGGUUUGACCAAAAGCCACGUCUAAUGUCGAUAUCGGGUAGAAUUCCACCGUGUCCAAAUCUUAGACACUAUUUAAAGAUGUUUAAGCUUCCAUUUGAAGCUUUUUCCCUCUCUCACUACUCCCUCUCUAACCUCUCUCCUCAAACCAAAGAACUAGGUCCAAAACUCAAAUUUAAGGCUCCAAAUCCUUGAGGUAACUUCCCUAACUUGUUAUUCAACCUCCUUAGCCUUCAAAUCCGAAUUUAAACUUUGAUUUUGGACCUCAAACAUGAGUUUAUGGCCAAGGGGCAUGCUUGGGCUGUAAACACCUAAUAAGAGGGUUCUUAUGCCUUUAAACCCCUCCAAACCAAUUUUGGGACUUAGAUACGACUAUAUGGCUUACCAUUCUGGACUUAGAACACCCUAAACAUGAAUUUUGAGGAGCAAACAUGAUUUUACUGCCCAAGAUCAUGCUUGGGCUGUAAACUCAUCAUUCAUGGAGAGUAAACUCAAAACCAAGUGUUUAAAAGCCAUUUAAACACACCAUUAGCCUUGGAAUAAAUCCUAGAACCAACCAAAAUCAAUUUGGGGACCUUAAACAUAAUAAAAACUCUUCAUUUUAGAGUUUAGAGCCAUAACUCCGCAAGAAAUAGUUCCAGGGCCGUAAACUCAUAAAAACAUGUUAAAUGGUGCCCUAAACUCAUUCUAAGGCUUGUAAAAAUAGUUUGAAUCACAUGUGAUUGUCCUAGCUUCACCAAAUAAAUUAAGUAUUGAGCAUGGGGGAGUUUACUGCCGUAAACUCCAUGUUUACUGCCAUAAACUCCAAUGAGUUUAAUCCAUUCCAAGGCCCUAGAUUAAAACCUAGCUAAUUUUCUUAAGUGUUAUCAUGCCAUUUAACACCAUAAAACCCCUAAUCAUGACUUCACGGCCGUAAACUCUUGUGGUUAUGGUCUUAGGGCUAAAAACUCCAUAAGGAGUUUACUCUUGAAGAGUAAACUCAUUUCCCAAGUCCUACACAUCCUUAGAUGUCACCCAGGUCGCUCCAAACGCUUGAUUUGAGGUGUUUUCGCAUCCUAGAGUAAAUAAUCAUAUCUAAUUAGUGAAUUAAAGUCUAAUUAGAUAAAAAUGUGUAUCAUUUCACAUUAUAUAGGAACCUCGCGCGUUUUUAAGCCUUAAAAUGACGUUUAGCAUCCAAACCGACACAUUCCGCGAUUGGUGAGUUCAUACCCCUACGCCUUUUUCCAUGUUUUUCAAUGUUUUCAGGGGGGAAUACAAGAAAAAUAUUAAAUGUUAUCAAAACAUAAAACUGAUAUAUUUCUAUAAAUAUCUGGCUAACCUUUAGAUAUCUUUACCCCUUAUGUAUUAUGUUGAGCAUAAGGGAUGUUUUAUCGAUUAUAACUACAUGGAUUUCAGUAAAGGAAACAAUCAAAUUAAUCAAAUUAUUAUGGGAAUAAUUUGGGAUCUUUAGUUCUUGUUUAAUGAGUACAGAUUUAUGUAAAGUUAAUAGAUAAACUAUGUCGGAUUCAGUUUAUCUCCGUUUAAUUUAGAAUAUAUUGCCAGAUAACUUCAUUGUAUUUAACUAUUUCUAUUGUAUUAUGUUUCGAUACGAUUUGUAUGUCUGAUAACGUCUGAGAACCCCGUGAAUAACAUGAUACUAGCUUGUUAGAUUCGUCAUUGUUAUCAGUAAAUCCUCCCCGGAAGUGUAACCAGAGUCUCCUGGAGGGAGAGCGUGGAAUUUGUGAAUAGAACUAUUCGGGACUGACAAUCCCACACCUUAACUACUAGCUACAGUUAGGCGGGCAUGCCUGGGGUGACAAGUUCUAGAAAUCGUCCGACGUCUGACAAACGUCAAGGAGGUCUCGGUGUCGCAUUAGCAUGGUUACCCGACUCACAAUACGUAUUAAUAUAAGUUUAUUCACGGAUUGAAUUUCAUAUUUACUUUCUAUCUAUAGUUCCUAUAUCUAGUACGGAUGAUAGUCCCAUGAUUUUAAAUCUAUAUCUAGUACGGGAUGAUAGUCCCGUGCUUUUCAAUCUAUAUCUAGUAUGGGAUGAUAAUCCCAUGGUUUUCAAUCUAUAUCUAGUACGGGAUGAUAGUCCCAUGGUUUUCAAUCUAUAUCUAUACGGGAUGAUAGUCACAUGGUUUUCAAUCUUUAUCUAUCCUUAGUUUUCAUGUAUCAAGGCUAUCUUAUAUCUGGUACGGGAUAGUAAUCUCAUGAUUUUCAGUAAAUAGUUUUAUGCGUAAAACUAUACAAUGUGGUUCUUAACUAAAACUUUACUUUUAGGAAAAUAUAGGAUUUUCCUGGGAUAACACUGUACAUAACCAGAAUCGUGUAAGAAAACAGUUAACCAAACAUUACUUUUAAGAAAAUAUGGGAUUUUCUUGGAUUCAUAACUUUUUCGGAAAAACAAAGGAAACUUAAACAUUUUCAGAAAAACAAACAUCUUAUGAACUCACCAGCUUUAUGCUGAUUUUCAAACUGCUUGUAUUCUCAGGUCCAUAUUAGACAGGUACCCAGCGAUCCUUUUUGGAGAAGACGGAUCGUACUGAAGAUCUCGUCUUAUCUUUUGUUCAUAUAUACCUAUGUAUAACACUUGUGAUACUUUACUUUUGAACAAUUGUAAAUUUCAAUAUGUAAUGUAAUGGUUGAUUACUUUGCUUACUAUGUGCAUUGGAUUUGAUACUCAAUGUGGAGUCCGCCUCAGAAAUGUUUCCGCCUGCGGUUUUUGGGGUGUGACAGGAUCAGAGUGUUUACUAGAGGAACCAAUGGUAGAAUUUUUUGGUGACAAACGGCGAGGAAUGAUGCAAUGGUGGGGGAAACGAAGGAUGAUCUGAUUCAUGAGAGAGAGAGAGAUAGAGAGAGAGAGAGAGAGAGAGAGGUGGGGCCCUUUAACAUUAAAUAGUUAUAUUUAUUUUUCUUUUUUUUAAAUUAAGGCAAAACUUCAUAAAUGGUCCCUGUGGUUGUGAAAUGACAAAAAUGCCCUUCACUUAACGGCUAAAUGUUAACGGAUUUAGCGAAAAGGACCAUUUGUUAAAAGUUUUGAAACCACCGGGACCAUCUGUGAGGUUUUUAUAAAUUAGAGACUAAACUUCAGAUUUUCGGAAACCACAGAGACCAUUUGAAGUUUUGUCAAUAUUUAUUGAUAACGGGACUCUAAGUUUGUUUCUUAAAAAUUAGUUAAAUUAAUAAAGAAGGAAAAUAUAUGAUGAAAGAGAAUAUUUUUUUAAAGAAGGAUUCUUCAUUUAUUGUAUUUUUCUGCAUGCAAACAUAGUUAUUACAUGUUUGUUUAACGAGAAAGCAAAAUCCAGCAACAAGCUGGAAUGUUACAAAAGGAAAAGGAAACAACAGUUGGUAUACCAAUUUGAAGGCUACACCAUGAUACGAUAAAAUUCAUAAUAAUGAAUAGAACUACUGCUCGAAUAUUCAUUUGAACCACUUUAAUCUUCUACCCAAAAAUCUAAACCCUACGAGCAUAAUUAAUGUCCCGAAUAUCACAAAUAUCACGAUGCAAGUUAUACGAAGCAUUUUGUAAUCAGAUGGCACAAUUGCAAAGGUGCAAUUAGCAUGGUUUAUGGUUAAUACAAUCAUUGAAAUCUGCAAUUCGUGUAUCAAAGGGAAAUCAACGGUGAGCAUGUAAAUCAUGUAAACUGACAUGUAGAACCCUAAAUUCGUAAUAAAAAAUACAACAUAUGGUGCUUGAUAUCUAUGAGUACCCAUAAUAGCUUCUCCAGCAUAGUGGUGUUUAAUGAUAGGAGUACCAUCAUCUGCGAGUUGCGGUAAAGUACUAUUGCCUGUGUCCUGCCAAAGUCCUCCAGGAGGACUAAGCGAGGUUUGAUAUGUUGCAGUCGUGAUGAGUAUAAUGACUACAAGAAGGGUACUCCUGAUUUCGAUAGAAGUGCCUUUGAGUUUAUACUGUAUGAACUUGUCUAACCAAUCUCUAUGCGGAGAAUGAGGGUUUUCAUGUUUAGUUUCUGGUAGACUUAGAUUUUGACUCAUAGUUAUAAUUAAGUUAUGAGAAAAGAAAUCUUGCUAUAUUGAUAUAUUUUACAUGCAAACGCUAACAAAGAGUUUAUAUAAGUAAAUUGGGACGCCAGGUGCAUGUAUGUAAACCUUGUAAUUUAGUCAACUGAAGUUGUAAGGAAGCAUGUAAUCGGGUCCACAGAAGUUAGAACCUACGAAGCCUUAAAUGGUGUCCUCCAUUAAUUACGUGGUAUUUUGCUUGCUAGGUUACGAUGUGCUAUGAUGUUUACUAUAAGACUUUAUUGAAUUAACCUCAAAGGGUAUGAGCGAGUUUACAUGUAUAUAAAAUACAAGAUAACAAACAAAGGCUAAUUUCUAGGAAUACAACUAGAUAACUAUAUUAUCUAGACUUAUCUUAUUUAUCAAUAAUACUCCCCCUCAAGCGAAGAGGUGGUAAACCAACAUGCAACUUGGAACGAAAUUGCUCAAAUAGUGGAUGUGGAAGACUCUUGGUGAAUAUAUCAGCCAAUUGUAACGAAGUGGGCACAAAACGCGUGUGUAAUCUACUAGAAGCAACUAACUCAUGAACGAAGUGAUAGUCUAUGUGUAUAUGCAUCGCUCUUUUGUGAGAUAUAGGAUUCUGGGUAAGAAAAAGAGCACUCUUGUUGUCACAUAAGAGAGUUGGACGAUCUAGUGGCAAAGCAUGAAGUUCACGAAGAAGAUGAGUAAUCCAAAUAAUUUCAGCAGCAGUAUUUGCCAUUGCUCGAUAUUCAGAUUCACAACUAGAUCGAGAGAUGGUUGGUUGCUUUUUAGCGCUCCAAGAAACAAGAUUUCCACCUAAAAAUAUGGAGUAACCAUAUGUUGAACGUCGAGUCUCAAUACACCGGGCCCAAUCCGCAUCAGAAUAACCAAGAAGCAAAGAGGACUUGGGGUAAGUAAAGUGAAGACCAUAGGAUAAAGUGCCUUUUACAUAUCUUAAGAUUCUUUUGACUAUUUGAAAAUGGUCAGUCGUAGGAGCAUGUAGAAAUUGGUUGACUUGAUUAACUGCGUACGAUAAGUUAGGACGGGUAAUAGUUAAGUAUUAUAAAGCACCAACCAGUGAUCGAUAUAAAGUGGGAUCCGAACAUGGCGAACCAGAAGUGACAAGAUAAUCUGAGGUUGAUAAAGGAGUUGAAGCAGGUUUUGAGUCAAGCAGACCGGCCCGAGUGAGAAUAUCAUGUGCAUACUUGGCUUGAGUGAGAAAUAAACCAUUUUCCAUAUACGAUACUUCAAGACCCAAGAAGUAAUUUAACUGGCCAAGAUCCUUGAUAGCAAAAUCGGAGUGAAGUCGAGUAAUAAACUUUUUAAUGAAGAGUGGAGAAUUUCCUGUUACGAUAAUGUCAUCGUCAUAAACUAACAGGUAUAGGAUUUGUGACUCCUGUUUGAAGACAAAUAGAGAUGUAUCAGCUCGACUGCAAACAAAACCGAGAGUGAGAAGAAAUGAACUGAGGCGUUGAGACCAAGAACGUGGAGACUGUUUAAGGCCAUAUAGGGCCUUCUUUCAACGAUAAACAUGAUUAGGAUAUCUUUGGUCAACAAAACCCGGGGGUUGUUCCAUAAAUACCCUGUCAGUAAGAAUUCCAUUUAGAAAAGCAUUAUUGACAUCAAGUUGAUGAAGAGGCCAUUUAUGCAUGACAGACAAAGAUAAGACAAUACGAAUAGUGGCGGCUUUGACAACAGGACUAAAAGUACGAGUGUAGUCAAGACCCGAAAUUUGACUGAACCCUUGAGCGACCAAUCGGGCCUUUAGUCGUUGGAUGGUACCAUCUGAAUUGAAUUUGGUAUGAUAGACCCAUUUUGAACCCACUAUAUUUGAACAAUGUGGACGAGGGACAAGAUCCCAAGUGUUGUUUGAGCGAAGAGCAUUCAUUUCUUCUUUCAUGGCAUAUAGUCAUUGAGGAUGUUUAGCUGCAGAUUUGAAACCACGAGGCUCUUUAGUAACAAAAAGAGCAUGAAGAAGCGGAGCAUGUUCAACAUAUGCAAGGUCUACACGGUGACGGGGUUUAAAGAUUCCUGCACGAGAUCGAGUCACCAUAGGAUGAGAAGAAGAAGAUGGCACUGUUGGACCUGGUGCAGGUGACGAUGAAAAAGUUGUUGUCGUGGUGAUAGGAGAAUCUGACGAGUCGGUAGGUGAUGGCGGGGAGGUUGUCGACACAUCAGAAGUGGUACCGCUGGAUACAGAAGUUAAUUCAGCACCUAAUGAGAAUGUCGCAGGCUGUUGAUCAUCUGUGAAACGAUGCUCAUGCGGACAAAGCGAGCAGAAUGGAGCUGGUUCUGAGUUGCGGUGUUGAGGAGCAGGCAUGGGGGACAACUGUGGAGACGGACAUGGUUCUUGGAAGUCUGUGAACAAUAAUUUGGCUUGAUCAAUAGGCGGUAAAACACCACGGAAAGGAAACGUGUUUUCAUCAAAGAUUGCAUGUCGGGUGGUGUAAAUGUGAUUUGAAGUAGGAUCCAAGUAGCGAUAACCCUUAUAGUUGGAGUUGUAUCCAAUAAAAAUGAAAGAAGCACUGCGAGGGGCCAAUUUGUGUGUCGAAUAAUUGCGUAAGUAUGGAAAAAUCCAACAUCCAAAAACCCGAAAAACAUCAUAGUUUGGUGGUGAGUGAAACAACAUCUCAAAUGGAGUCUUUUGAUCAAGAAUCUUUGAUGGAAGACGAUUGAUAAUAUAAGUUUCGGAGCUGAAAGCGUCAACCCAAAAAGAAGCUGGUACAUUUGCAUUAAAGAUCAUUGCGAGACCGGUUUCGGUAAUAUGGCGAUGUUUCCGUUCAGCUCGCCCAUUUUGUUGCGGAGUAUGAGGGCAAGACAAACGAUGAUGGGUAUCGUCUUCCAUGAGAAGAGCACGAACUUGGUUGUUUGUGAAUUCGGUUCCUCCGUCACUCUGAAAAGCUUUAAUUUUGCAAGAACAUUGUGUUUGUACGAACGCAAGAAAGGCUUUAAAUAUAUUAAAAAAAUCAGAUUUCAAUUUUAAUAGAUAAAACCAUGUGAAUCGAGAGAAGUCAUCCACGAAGAUGCAAUAGUAUAAGUAUCCUUCUAUUGAAGGAAUAGGUGCUGGCCCCCAUAAGUCACAAUGGAAAAAAUCAAGCACAUGCAAAGAACGUUUUCAUUUAAUGUAAAUGAUAACUGUUUGCUUUUGGAAAACUGACAUGAAGAACAUAUACUAGGUUUAGGCAAAAGUGAAGUAAAUGACAAACAACCCGAUUUAUUCAAUAAAGAAAUUGUAUCAAAAGCAGCAUGAACUAAUCUAGUGUGCCAUAAUUCAUAAGAAGCACAUAAUUUGGAAGUUCUUAAGUUUGUAAGAAAAACUUCCUGGCCAUUCUUGAGAACAUAGAGACCAUUUUCACAUCUACCCUCUGCCAAUAUUUCCUCUGUUGCGCGGUUCUGAAUGGCAAAAAAAGGAUUAGAAAAUAACACAUCCACCAGAGAAUCCUUGGUCAAUUUACUAAUGGAAAGGAGAUUCUUAGUGAAAUUAGGAACCACAAUAACAUCUGAUAGUUUAAGAUCUUUGGAAAUUGAAGAGUUACCAAUAUGAGAGAUGGAAGAAGUAUUACCAUUUCCAAAAACAACGUGAUCAGAUCCUGCAUAAGUUGAAGCCGAAUCAAGAGUUGCGAGAGAUGAUGCCAUAUGGGUGGAGGCACCAGAAUAAACGAACCAAUCUGGGGAGUUAUUUGUAACAUGACACUGGGCUUGGAAGGCUUGGGCUAAAUUCACUUUUUAAGAAGUGCCCUGACUAGCGAAUGAAGCCAAAUCGGGACAAGAACUCACAUAGUGACCAUUUGUGCGACAUAGCUAGCAGUGUGGGGGGCGCUAACCACGACCGCGACCACCGGUGUUUGAAAAACGACCACGACCUCUACUAGAGUUGUUACCACUACGAGAAGUAGUAGCUGAAGAGGGCUGACGAUUGGCAGUGAAAGCAACGACUGGUGGAGUGGGAUCAUGAAUUGCAGCAAGAAAUAACUCAUGUCCUUCAGCUUGAGAGACCAGAUCACGGAAAGAAGGACGAGGCUUAAUGGCACGAUAAGUAGUAGAAAAAGUCUCAAAUGAAGAACCAAGUCCACAAAGAAACCAGUGAAUCUUAUCAAGAUCAUCAACGGGGUGACCAAUUGCAGCAAGUUGGUCAUAGAUUGCUUUGAAUUUGGAACCAAAUUCGGUAACAGUGGAGGAACCCUUUUUAAGUUGUCGAAGGGUAUCCUUUAGGGUCUGUAUACGCUCCUAGGAAUCAUGGCUAUAUGCUACUUCAAGAGAUCGCCAAAUAUCAAAGGCAGUCUUGGAGCCGAGAGAUUCAGCCAUAGCAGCCUCGCUGAGAGAGGCCUGGAUAAUAAGGUAAGCGCGUUGAUCUGCUUCCAACCAGGUUUCAUAGUCAGGAUUAGGAGAAGAAGUAUUUGCAACAACUUUUGUCUUGGGUGGAGGAAGAAUCGUGCCAUCUAUAACUCUAUGUGGCCGGACAACUUCUGAUAUGUAAGAAGGGGAAGCAUUUGAUUGCUCCAGAGUAAGUAGUUUGUAGGAGAAAGUUUGACAGUAAUCAUAUGAAGAAUGGUGUUGAAAGGGAGAGAAGAUGGGGAUGAAGAAGAGGAGUCGUCGAUCGUCAUUGCAGAGAGGAAAUGUCUUGACCUAAUCUGAUACCAUAUAAGACUUUAUUGAAUUAACCUCAAAGGGUAUGAACGAGUUUACAUGUAUAUAAAAUACAAGAUAACAAACAAAGGCUAAUUUCUAUGAAUACAACUUCAAUACAGCUAGAUAACUAUAUUAUCUAGACUUAUCUUUUUUAUCACUAAUAUUUACAUUCCAAUGUGGUCCUCAUGCAAAUAAUAUCAAUACUUUUGUUCAUGGAGAUAUGCAGACGUAACACCUUCCUAGGCCUUGAUGUAUUGUCGUUUUGUAUUAUUUUUUAAUUGGCUGGUAUUGUUGUUUUGUCUUCAUUUUAGUAUUACAUUUUGUGAUGAUUUAAAUUUCAGUUUUGAUUGGGUUGCUACUGAAUCCAUGAAUCUGCUCUUUCUUUGUAUCUUCUCAUUAAAAGACAAAACACAAGUAGCUGCGUAACUCAAAUAUAUAAUAAUACAUCUGAUAAUUCUAUUUCUUUGUAUUUUGCAAUCGAAGACAAAACAACAAUAGCAGCCCAAUGAAAAAUGAGGACUAAACAUUAAUACUCCACUACAACUUCAAGUUUAAUAUAUUUUCUUUCACAUGAAGUUCAAAUUAAUCUAGUGGAAAAGUUAUGCAUUAAAAAUCUUAACCAAUUGAAAAAAGAUAGAAAUAUGUGAGUAUCCCGCAUAGGUCAUUUGAAAAAAGAAAUAGAGAUGGGUACCAUUCAAGACCCACGAAGGGAAAUUUGUGCCAAUUCAAAAGCAUAUAAGUACGUAGCAAGUUUAAAUGCAUUUCACUGCUCAUAUAGUUUUGAUAUACACAAGUAUAAUCCAAGGUUCAUAACCCAUAGUUUGUGUAUUCUUUAGACGUUGUAGUAGUGAAACAAUAUACUUAAUACAAGUAAAUAGUAAGGUUCAUAACCCAUAGUCAGACAAAAAGAGCCAAAUAUCUUUUACAUACAUGAGAAGUUCAACUAUUGAAUCGAUACUAUAUAUAAACCACUUACAAUUCAGACCCUUUCUUGGCUUGUCUCAGGUAAUACAUUUCUACCCUUCUUCAAAUAAUUUCUAAGCAGCAUGAUGAUACAUGGUAUCGCAAAUGGGAGAGCAAUCGAAAUGCCAAUAAAACCAAACGUUAUGUAAUUAGUUGGAGCAAUCUCGUUCAUACAAGUAGCGUAAGUUACACUAAUUGCAAACAUCGAAAUCCGCAAUUCCAACUGCAAAGGGAAAGCUGCAGUGAGUACGUAAAUCAUGUGAACUGAAGUGUAGAACCCCACUGAAUUCGCAAACAAAAAUAUACUAUAUGCUAUCGGAUUUUUAGUACCCAUAAUAGCUUUUCCAGCAAUGUGAGAUUUAGUCGAAAUCGUAUGAUUUGUGGAUGGAAUAGAAUCGUCUUGCCAAGCACCUCCAGGAGGACUAAGUGCGGGUUGAUACGUUGCAGUGGUGAUAAGUAUAACAAUCACGAGAAGCGUAUUUCUUACCAUGUUAGGAGAGUCUUUUAGAUUAUUGUACUUAAAGUAGUCCGAAAGAUUCGAUCUAGGAUUUUCAUGUCUUGUGUCAGUAUGAUUUGAUCUUUCUAUAUGAGUAUAUGUUGGAGACUGCAGGUUUUCAGACUUUAAACCUCCGGAUUUGAUGAGAAUGUCCUCAAUUUCUCGAUCACCAGCUUCACUUUGAAACAUUAAUAGCAUAUCAAGAGGAGUUAAACCUCUUUUGUUUAAGGAAUUCAACUCAAUCUUCCCUUUGAUGGUAGCUUGUUCGUUUAGUAGAAAGUCAACCACCUAUUAAAAAUAUAAACUUUGAUCAUGAAAUUCGUAAAGACUUGAGGUACAAAAGACAAAAGUGUACUUACUUCAUAUUGCUUCAUUGAAACGCCAAGGUGCAAGAUUGUAUUCCCCUGAAUGUCCUUAGAAUUCAGAAGAUCUUCCUUGUUGACUUUCUUCAGAUGUUGAAUCAAAACUUUGAAAGCUUCGAAUUUGUUGUUCUUCACUGCGAGAUGGAGGGGUGUCUCAAGUCGCGCAGUCGUGAAGUCCACAGAAUCCGAGCUCGCUAAAAGCAACUCUUUUACAACUUCAACUUUACCUUUGACCACAGCGAAAUGGAGAGGAAUUUUUCUGUCUUUUCCUUUGAUCAAACACAAACCAAUGUCAACUUUGAGAAGCUCCUUAACAAUUUCGGUAUGCCCACAAGCAGCUGCUAUGUGCAAAGGUGUAAAACCAUCUUGGUUAAGCUCCCUGGAAAAUUCCUGCUUUAGUUUGAUGAGUGUCGAUGCGAAGUUGACAUGUCCAGCGAAACAAGCUAUGUGUAAUGGAGUUUCGCUACCCUCCAUUGCUACGACAUGAAGCAUAGAUGGGUUUUUGUCGAUUUCUUUAAGCAGUUCGUCGACAUCCCCAUUCCAUGCUGCCUGAAUCAGGCUUCGAUUCAUUGGUCUACGAAGAGAAAUCUUGUUGUGUUAGUUUUUUAUGUAUGCUCACGAAGUGUUUCUAAUAUUAAGCAACGGGUUUGACAGGUGUAGGUAGAGCUUGUAGUUGAGUCAAUGAGAUUAGGUUUUACUUAAAGGAUUAAGAUAUUAAAGUCAACUGAUUAGCUCAUGAUCAGUUGCAUUCAAAUGUUAUCCACCUUAAAGAAUAGCCAAAAUUUUCUGUCUGAUGUAAUUGAAUAUUGCAGCCUUAUAAUUUUUGACAAUUGUUUAAGGAAAACUUGAUGUCGAUCAGACACUAGAAUAACAAUAACUUUUCUCAUGACAUUUAAAAAAUAAAACUUGAUGUUGUGUAACAAAAAAAAGUUGUUACAUUUGACUAUCAAUUUUCAAUUAAAUUCAGAACUACAAUUUUUUUUGCCAAUUGAAUAAAUUGUAAUUCACAAAUAAUGGAUAAAAGUUCAAUUGCCUAAUUAUUAAAUUCUAAGAACAAAUAAAUAACUAUAGUGGUUGAUUAAUUCCGUCCACAUAACCUAAAUCAAACUUAGGUCGAGUUUAAUUAGGUGCUUGUAUUAUUAGUUUCAGUAGCAAUUUUUGCAUCGUUUACCAAGAAAUUUUGCUAACAAUUCUGUUUAAAUUCGGAAUGUAAAAAAGUCUUGUGACACCGAUCUCGUGUGGGGGUAUUUGAUUAAAAAUACAAGGACAGGGUUAACCCCUGUUUUAAUAUUGUGGGUGGGGAUGGGGGUACACAGUCCCGUCUCGAAACCCACAUAGAAGACCCCUUAAUAUAUUAUUUAUAUUAAUUAUAUAAAUAUAAUAAGUAAUAGCAUGAUUUUGAGCUACCAACAUCCAAUAAAAAUCAUGUUUUAAAUUGUUAAUAUAACGUUUUUGAGAUCUCAUACCAUUUCUAUUUUUAACAAUUAAAACUAUGCUAUAAUUAAUUAUUUUUUACGUAAAGAAUAGCUUUUUAGCCUAAAAACAAUUCCUUUUAGUGUCUUUUCCCGUUUUUCCCAUUGAGACCCCUAGUCUAUAUCAAACUCAUAUAGAACAAGUUUUUUAUUAUAACCAAUCAAAUCUAAUUUUAAUCACCGUGGUAGAGAAAAAAAGUAUAAUCAAAAUUAGUCUGAAGGAAUCCAUAAGUAUCUAUCCUUUAUAUAGGACAUCUUGUUUUAUUUUUGUCCCUAUAUUUUUCGUUCUAGUGUAUUUAUACACAUGGAUGUUUUAUUAUUGAAAUAAGAAAGUUUGAUAUUUAUUAUGAUAUAAGAGUGGGUUAUUAACCCUAGACUACAAACCCAACAACAAUGAAAAAAUCCAGAAAAGACAAUGCCACCAAAGAUAGCUCGAUCAGCCAACAGAUCGAUGCCAACUCCAUCUAUUAAAUACAUGCAUGUAACUAUCNNNNNNNNNNNNNNNNNNNNNNNNNNNNNNNNNNNNCCCCCCCCGCGAAACAACAACUAUGACAACUGGAGAGAAGAGAUGUGAAACUUCCUUUUCACCAAAAACAAAAUUAGUUUCUUAAUUGGAUGUUGGAGAUGUCUUAGAAAUGGAUGCCAAAUCUGAUGAUUUGGAAAAGGUGGGACGUCGUGCUCAAACGAUGGCUAACCACCACUAUGGAGAAAGAAAUCAGAAAUAAUGUCAAAUACGUCAAGACUGUUAGAGAAAUAUAUGAAGACCAUUAAUAAUGCUGCAGUAAUAAAGAGAGUGCCUACAGGCAUAUGAGCUAAAGCAAACCCUCACAGUAACAUGAUAAGACAAAGCUUCUGCCUUGACGUAUUACACUAAAAUAUGUGUAACGUCCCAAAAAUAAGACCUAAAAUUUUUUCAAUUUUAAAUUAAUAAAACAGUAAACCAUAUCAUUAUCAUAAAACCAAAGUAAUCUAAUUUUAUCAAUACAUCAUCGUUAUCAAAGUAAAUCACAAAAUGCGCAAUUGAAUGGUGUGUGUUCUGCAAUCAUCCCAAGCUCUUCCAUUUUAAACCAAAAGUACUUGAAACAUAAACUGAAAACCAUAAGCACAAAGCUUAGUGAGUACCUCAAAAUACCACAUACCAUAUAUACAUAAAUAAACACAUAAUGGGCCCUGCCCGUCAUCAGGCCCUGUCCGGGAUCCAACCCCGCUUGGUAUACAGAUCUAUAAAUCAACGGACCCCGCCCAAUGAGUAUAACGGGCCCCACCCAAACUCGCAUAACAGGCCCCGCCCACUGAGUAUAAUGUGUCUCUCUCACACACAAAACACAUAAGCAUAACAAAAUAAUAACAUACAUAAUAACCAUCGGGCCUCGCUCGGCAUCGGGACUUGCCCGGUAAGCAUACCAACACACAACACAUGCAAUAAUCACAAAGAUACAUAGCAUAUAAAAUGGUCAUCGGGCCCCGCCCGGUAAGCAUCCAAGCAUAUAACACAUGCAAGAGUCACGGAGACAUUUAGCAUCCUAACAUAACAAAAUUAUGGGCCGACAUUGGUUUCUUCGACUCGCUAAUCAUAGUGAGGAAACUCACCUCGCACUGCUGAAUCCCAUGGAUAAAUCUCUGGCUACUGGCCCGCUAUAAAUCUUAAAAUAACAUCGAAUUAAUAAUUGGAUCCUGACUCACACUAAGAGUCCAAACUAGGGUAAAAUACCUUUUUACCCUUUCCCUAACUUGAACCAAAGCUAAAGCCCAAUCCAAAUGUCCAAAAAGCCGAAAUUCCAAAAUAAUCACCCAAUCUCAAUCAUGGCCGAAUUUUCCAAAUUGGGCCCAAAUCUCUUUCAUAGGAUUUCCACCAAGGAGUCCAAUACAGUAUCAACACCCCAACAAGGCCCAAGACAUCAAAAUCCAAACAUAGCACAAUACCGAGAAGCCCACGAAAUCGAAGCCCACUGCUGAGUAAGCAGGGCGUACUCAUCUCGUACACUUAGCGUACUCCCUUCGGGGCCAGUACGCGCAACGUAUCAGAUUGGUUACGCCCAAUAUACUCCCCGGAUCACCAUCCUACCCCAUUAAGCACUUAAUCAAUUAAACCCUUCCUCCAAACUCUCUGAUCUGAUUCAUAUGGACGACUUAUCACAUAAAGUUUCCAACUUUAUGUGCAUGCAUGGCUUAAUGGAUCUUUAGAGCUUAAUAAAUGACUUAACACAUGCAUAAGACCAAAACCACAAUAAAGUUUACAACUUUAUGAUCAAGAAACCCUUAAUGAUCCGAGAUCUACAAGGAUAAGCUCCAAAAACGUCCUUAUCUCACAAAAUCAACCAAAAAGGGACCAACGUGACCAUAAACAAGCUAACGAGUAAAUUUAUGAAAUGGAAUUACAAGCUUUGACCUUUAUACCUCAAAUGCCACCAAAAAAAGGUGCAAAAUCUAGAUCUCAAGGCUCUCUAUCAAAGAAUGAUUCUUCAAGUUUCUUCUUCUACCAAUUCAAGAUGCAUAACACCCACCAAAAUCUUCACAGUAGCUCAAAAGCACCACACAAAGGCUAAGGAACAAAUUAGGGUUUUCUAGGGGUAUGGAGGCUUAUUAAACAAGGCAAAAAGACGAUAUCCUAUGGUUUAUAUAGGUUACAAUCCCUAAAAUUAGGGUUUGUACAUUGCUCACAUACGCUAAGCGUACUGUACUUACGCCCAACAUACGUGGAAGAGCUCUGCGAUCCAUCUGCAUAUCUACGCCCAACUUACAAGGAGUACGCCCAUCAUACUCCAACAUUCCCGAAGUUGGGAAUUCAGCUCCCUAAGGAACAAUUCAGCAAACAAGACUCCCCCAAAGGGUCUAAACCGAAAUUGACAAUGAACCAAGCGUUACAACUCUCCCUCACUUAAAUUAGAUUCCGUCCUCGAAAUCAUUCCUUACCAACCCAGGAACGUUGGAGAGCCUAAGAACACAACCAUAUCCCCUAGCAUACAAAAACCUUCCCAAAGGAAACCUAACCCAACCCUAGAAGAGCUCUCUAAGAUUCAUAACCAAGGCCUAAGCGUUAAGGAUUUCUUGUAGUGGGCUUCAGUAUUCAAGAUGAGUGUCCUCACUGUUGUAUGGGUCGAAGGCACCAAUGUCGACCCAUUUGGUUUAUGUGUUGAAGUAAGACCCGGGGGAUAGCCCUUGGCAUUAUGUAUGAAAGACCAGGAAGUGGCUCCAGGCAUACUAUAUGCAAGACCAAAGUCUGCACUUUGGUAAGUAGUAUAGUUUGUGUGUUAGUUGUCUUUGUGAUUCUUGCAUGGAAGACCAGGAGGUGGCUCUUGGCACUUGUCUUUAAGACCUAAGGUUGUGGCCCCUAGCCUGGUAAGAAAGACCAUGAGGUGGCUCGUGGCAUAAUGGCAAGACUAUGGUUGGCACAUAGCACUCUCAUUAAUUAUGGUAUAUGAUUGAUAUGUAUGGCUAACGGUUACGUAUGGCAUGUGUUGAUCGUUUGAUAUGUAUGGUAUGUGGUAUUUAGGGAACUCACUAAACUUUGUGCUUACGGUUUUCAGUUUAUGUUUCAUGUACUCUAGUUUUCAGAUGAAAGAGCUUGGUACAAUCGUAACACAUACACCUGUGCUUUUUCUGCAAUAUGUGAUCUUUAGGAUUGAACUCUGAUAACUGUGUUCAUUGAAUUACUUUUUAAUGUUUAGAACAAAGUUACAGUAGUGUUUUGAUUAUAAUAAAAAUGAAAUUUUUACCUUGGAAUUUUGGGCUGCUACAAGUUGGUAUUAGAGCCUUGGUUUAAGGGAUUAAGGCAUACUCUCGGGUGUGCAUGAACUCAAACUGAGGGUUUGGUGAAAUUUUUAUAAAAUAAAUAUUUAACUAAAAAGGAACUUCUAAUCAAAGAAAGGGGUGUGAUGCGUGCAAUCGAUCGAGCUUAAGUAAGUGGUACCCAUGAUACAAUACAUGUUUAUUAUGAUAUAUGAUAUGAUUAUUAGAAUUUCAUGCUAGCUUAGGACUAAGGAUCUGCUCAUUAUUAUAUGAUAGAGAGAUGCAUUUUAUGUGUCUGAUUGUUUAAGCUUUAGUAUUGCAUGCUAGUCUAUAUAUCUUAUAAGUAGAUGGAAUGGCUUGUAUAGAGUAUGUUGGUUAGAUUUUUCUGUUUCCUGAAUGUUGCUUGAUUUGUGCUUUGUGGGUGAUCUUAGCAAUGUGAGUUAGCUACUAAGUGCAUAUGCUAAGUCACAUGUGGCACAGGUUGGAUAAUUUCAGAGUGAUGGACUUGACCCCAUUGCACAACUCUUGUUUGAGUCCAACUGUUAUAGGGUGGAGUCUUUUACUCGAAGGACUGUUUGAUCUCUAUUGCAUGUGGAUAUAUUCAAGAGGAGGCUAAUUGUCCUUAGUGGGGGAUCCUUCAGCAGCUGAGGGCUAGGUGGGGUUGGUAACCUAGGAGAGCCUAGGAUAUUCUUCAGUAGGGGUAAAGAUGUGGUUUAGUGGGUUUUGGUGCUUUGGCUUGAGGAAGUGACUUAGAGGAUUCAGGAGGAUUGCUAAGGAAAGUAUGGAUAAGUGUGGAAGGUAGUAUUGGGAUCGUACUAAUGAAAUCACAAGAUCUAUACCUGAAUCGGUGAGAGUCUUGGAGAAUCUAAGAAGAUGAUGGAAGGAGGAUUCUUGGGUAUAUUUUGAUUGUUGGUUUGUCAUAUUUCAGUUUGGAGAUGAGCUCUCAGGGAGGUGGUUCUGGUUCGGGUUCUGGCUCAGGUGCGGUUGUUAAGUCGAUUAGCAAGCAGUUGUGGGAAUUAAUUUCAUCAGAGAUUUCUCGCUGUGUUUCAGAGAUAUUGGAUGAGCGCUAGGACGCGUUCUGUGCGAAGGUUAUGGAUAUCAUUAGGGCUCGCACUCUUUUUUCCGGGAGUUCCGUGCUUAUGGAGCUCCUGCAUUCCAUGGGGAGGGGGACCCUAUUGUCAGUAGGAAGUGGUUAACGGAUAUCACUAACGCAUUCAGGAUGAGUUUCUUCUCCGAAGAGGCAAAGUUCAUAUUUGCUUCCUGCCUAUUGAGGGAAAGGGGAAGUUGGUAAUGAGUUAGGUGAUGAUGUUGUUGAAGAUAUAUCAUGGGAUGACUUCUCGACUAGGUUCUGAGCUAAGUUUGCACCAACGAUCGAGGUACAAUAGUUGGUGUGAGAGUUUCUGGAUCUCCGCCAGACUACUGAGAUUGUGACAGAGAUUACUGCCAAGUUCCGAGAGAGGGCUUUCUUGGUACCACAAUAUGCAACAGAUGAGGAAAUGAAGAAAGUGAGGUAUCAUGAUAUGCUGCGGGAUGAUAUCAAGGAGUUCGUGAGUAUUUCGGGGUGUGAAAACCUGAAUGAUAUGAUCUCUAGGGCCUGAGAGCGGGAGAUUGAUUUGGAGCACAUAGGGAAGAGGGGGUCAGAUCAGGUGCAGACAUUGGAGGGUCCUGGGAAGAGAACCAAGACUUCUGACAAGUGUGUGGGUGGCCAGUAGGGUCAGAGUCAGUGCAGCUCGUGCGGGCAACAACACGAUGGAGUUUGUCGUUCCAGAGGUUUGGGCUACUACAAGUGGGCAGGUUUGGUCACGUCAGCAGUGAUUGUCCUUCUGGGGCAAGCCCAUUAUGUUUUCACUGCGACCAGGUGGGCCACAAGAAGGCCAAUUGUCAGAUGUUGAGGGGAGGAGCAGUAAGAGCGCAUGCUCCGGCUACUUUGAGGAUCACCAAUAGACGAGAAGGUAGGACAGGAGCCCCAGCAGAGAGGAUUUGAACUUUGCAGUGUCAGAGAAGGGAGCUCAGGACUCCAGUAGGCAAUAUUGUAGGUACAUAUCUUUUUCCCUCUUUCGGAUUAUUUAUAUCAGUCUAUCUGGACCAAAUCCCGGUCCUCAGUCUAUCUGGACCGCUCUCUGAGCCCUCGGCACAUCUAAACAACCCUCCUUUGGGCCUUUAGCCUAUUUGAACCGCUUGCUGGGCCUUCGGCCUAACUAGAUUUGCCAGGCCAACACGGCGAGUUUUCCGCUUACAACUCGUCGUGUUCAUACGUGUCUAAAGGUUGGGAAAACCCUAGCUGACUCGCCGAGUCAUUCAACUGACUCAUCGAGCCCAAGGCAAUCUUCAUCGGACUCCCCGAGUCGUUCAUCUGACUCGCCGAGUCCAUUCAGUCCUUCACCCAUAUAGAGACUUUUUAAGCCAUGCUAAGGCUCCAUAUUUUAGAUCUAGUCCCCCAAGGCAUGUUUAUCAUGUAAAGUUGCAAACUUUAAGUGCAUGCAAGACCAUAAAGUCCUAAAAUGACAAACUAAGCUUGCAAUGGAGGUUUUGCACUUAAGGAGAGUCUCAGCUUUGCAAAAGUUGGAAGCUUUAUGGACUUAAAGACCCAAGAGAGUUCAGAUCUGAAGUUACCACUUCAGAUCUUAGCUUAUACACAAGCAAAGCUUCCAAACAUACAAGGAAAGUCCUAAAAUCCACCCAAAAGAGAUCUAGAAUGAAAUGAGCCAAGGUAACAUCCUAAUACCUUCAAGAGGGUGUCAACUGGAGUAUAUGUUUGCUUCCCAUGAGUUUUCUUGCUCCAGUUUACAUGUUUCCUAAGUGUUUCUCCACUAAGACUCCUCUUCUAAGCUUUAACACACCAAAGAAACACACACACACACAUGUUUUAGGGUUUAAGGGUGCCAAGGAGUUGUAAAUGGGAGGCUGGGGGAGGCCAAUGAUCCUUUAAAUAGGGUGCAAUACCCCGAAAUUUAGGGUUUCAUCUGCCAGCUCCUACUCCUCGAGUCCCUUCUUGGACUCGGCGAGUAGGUCACUAAAACAUGCGGACUAACCCACUACUACUCGACGAGUAGGGCAACCAACUCCUUGAGUAGACCUUGAAAACAAGAAAAUUCUUACAUAAAAUCAAUACUUGAGAAUCGGGGCGUUACAGCGGGUGUGGAGUGUUUUUUGCUAUCUUGGUUGUAGUCGGGAUUAGUUUGGGGGCAUUGUAUGGAUGGUUUAUGGUCAGGACUCAACGGGUUAGUUGUCCAGUGUCACCAGAAUCUAGUGGUUUUAGCCAUUGUGCUUGGAUUGUUUUUGGAGGUGCCGAGGGAAGUUGUUUGUUGCUUUAGUUGGAGCAUCCGUCCUUUGAACUUCAAUAUUUGAGUGAGAUGUUAUUUUUAGCAUCUGAGGUUAUCAAUAAUAUUGGGAUUUGGGAAGUGUUCAGCUAGUCAUCAGAUAAUAUGUGGUCUUUUGAGGUGGCUAGUAAUGGAUCACUAGCAAGGUGGAGAGUUUGUUGUCAGCGGAUCGAUCAUUGGAAAGUAAGAAGGAUUGGGGGAUUCCUUCAAUUCUCAUGUGCUUUGAGAAUUUAGUCGAUUCAAAGUGGGGGGGAAUUGUUCAAGGAUUCAGGAGUAGAAGUGGUUUCGAAACUAGGAUUAGUUUCGCAUCCCGGUCAGGUAGGAAGGCAACCCAAGUGGCUGUUUGGAUUAAGGAUUGUGUGAGUUGGAAGUUUGGGAAACUUACCAACAUUGAGAUCGCGUUCUCUUGGUGCUCGAUAGCAGGAUUUGGGGAACCAGGUUGGGGUUUCAAGCAUGGCUCAAUUUCAGCUUGGGUGUUUGGUCGAGUGUGUGCUCGACUCUCGGUGUAUUCGGUUUGAUAGAUUAGAGGUAAGGCUUUGGGCUGUGAUUAUGGUAAGUGGAAGUGUUGUAAGACUACAUGGUGGCUCGUAGCAUUCACUAGUUAGCAAUUAUUGUUGAAGUAUUGUAAGACUGUUGGGUGGCCCGUAGCAUUCACUAGUGGUCAGUUGGUAUGGGAGUGUUGUAAGACUGCGGGGUGGCCCGUAGCAUUCACUGGUCCUUAUUCAGAAGGUGAGAUUGUAGAAAACAUGUGUUUUGAUCACGGUUUCCUUCGGAUGGUUUAGGCUAGGGUGGGUCACUUCGAAGGCUGUUGGAGGGCCGCAAUAUGUUUGGAAUACUACAUUGGGUCCUCCUGUAGCGUUCAGUUUACCAUCGGGUUAGUGUCGAGAUGGUUGGGUAGUUAUUGAUUGUGAGGCUUUCUGUCAGAAAUCGUGAGGGGCGACUGUGUGGGAGUGUUUUGGCUUAGUACCGGGUUGGAACCCGGUAUUUCAGAUGACUAGCAGAUGGAUUGGGAUCAUGGAGGUCUCUGUGGAUUUUCAGGGUUUCAGGCAGUAUCAAUGUUUUGGGCAGUUUCAGUGUUUUGGGCAUUUCCAAUGUUCGGGCAAUUUUAGUGAUUUGGGUUUCGUGUGUGUGUGGAGUAACUGGUGGAUUGGGAAAUGCUAAGUCACUCGCAGUGGGAUUAAAUAAUCUCAUAUUAAUUGAUUUGACCCUGGUGUGUGGCUCUCGUCUGUGUCUUACCGUUGCAGGAAUGAAUCUUCUACUCAAAGGAUUAUUUGUGCCUUUUGUCAGAUAUAAGUGUUUUGUAGCUGUUUAUGCUCAGUGACUUUGUUUCCCUUUGAAGCAGCAAUGUGAUCGAGGGUUCGACGCAUUUUGUUUAGUAUGAAACUCUAUGAGGAUGGUUUGGUGGCAGCUCGUUGUGGAAGGUCUGAUAGGAGGUUAGACCAUUGAGACCUUAUAUUUCAAAGUUUAGGUGAGAUAGCAUUGGGUUUUGUUCAAGGAAUUGUGGUUUCGUUGUUCAUCGGGCUUAAAGAACUAUUCUAAGGGUAGUUUCAGUAAAUUUGGAUAAGUCGUGGUAUGUUCCAGAUUGAAAGUAUUAUGUUUGGUCAGUUAUUCAUUGAGAGUUGGGCAUGGAGUUGUUUCAGCAUGAACGGUCUGCCCGGGUGUCAGACCAUUAUAGAUUCUAGUCCUAGAAAGGUAGAAGUGUUUGCAAAGGGCUGAAGGGUUGAGUGUUAUUUUCGAGAUAGAAGUUUCGGUUUCGGUUUCGGUUGCCUUCUAAAGAUUAUUUUGUGCGUAGAAUUUUGUUUAUAAUCUUCAGGUUGGUCAUUUUGGUAUGAGCAUUAAUAAAGAGCAAUUUCGAGGACGAAAUCUAAUUUAACUGGGGGAGAGUUGUAACACCCAGAAUCUAGAAGGUUAAUUGUGGAAAUAUUGUCAAUUUCAUGUCGAACUCGGUGAGUUGGAGGAGCCAACUCAGCGAGUUGAAGAUGAUGAAUCAUGUGGAUUAAGGGGUCUAAUCGACGAGUUGAGGAGUCUUAACUCGGCGACUAGAGGUUAUUUUGGUCACGAGAUUUAUGAGCCAACUCGACGAGUUGGGCGCUGUUUAGGAAACCCUAAUUUUGGGGUUUUGCACCUUGUUGAAACACCUUAAGUUCCAGGUGUUGGCCUCAUUUCCAAUCUCCAUAGCUCUUAACCCUAAUCUCAAAAUCCUAGAGCCUCCAAGAGUGUUGUGAGUCCAGUGUGUGUUUGAAGCUCAUUCAAGGAGGAGAAGCUUGGUACAAGGUGGUCGUUCAAGAAGGAGCUCAUAGAUCUUGAUUUUCUUCCCUAUUUCUAGCUCAUUUUGGGUAUAAAGUUCUAUCCUUGCUUAUUAUUGUCUUAGAUCUCUUCUUGGAUUUAUUUGUAUGCUUUUAGCCAUUGUUGGGUGAUUGUUGAGGAAGUAGAAAGGUGCAAACUUUAUGAUCUUUAUCAUCUCUUUUGGCAUAAAGGUGCCAACUUUAUGGUCCUAAGGGCUUCAUGCAUUCAUUAAGUCCUCCUUUUGGUCUCUGUUAAGCUUUUGAGCUUCUUCUAAGCAUGAAUAAGUGUAAAGUUGGAAACUUUCCAUGGCCAUUUAGCCUUAUAUGCUCAGAUCUGCAUCUUGGAGUUGUGUCCUUGUAGAAUAAGUUCUUAAUGUUUAAAUCCUUACCCUUUUAAGUUUAGGGUUUGGGUUUUGAACGCAUUUUGGUAGUUCUUUGGGUAAAGUUGGAAACUUUACCCUUCUUAUGGUCAUUUCAGUUAAGAUCUGAGUGGGAGAAGUUGUUAGUUUUGAAUAUGGCUUAAUAGGUUGAGUUGUUUGUUCCUAGGUGAACUCGACAAGUUGGAUAGCCAACUCGGCGAGUUGUUUUGGUUUUCCCCGAUUUUGAGUUGGUGAAGGUCAACUCGGCGAGUUGAUUAGACAGCUCGGAGAGUUGGAUCGGUUUCUUCCCGACUUUACGGUUUUUAGAGGAACUUGGCGAGUUGAAGGAUAAAACUCGGCGAGUUGGGUCAACUCAGGCCGUUGAUUUUGACUUUUGACUUAUUCCUUUAAUCAAGCUUAUGCCAAGGGGUGUUUGAAGCAAUCUGAAUUGGAAAGUGUGGGAUUAGGAUAAGGUCCGUAUGGGAGUGGGCCUAAUUUGGAAAAUUAGGCCAUUAGUGAGAUUUCAAGGAUUUUGUGGUUUUGCAUCUUGUUGGCUUUAUGGCUUGGGCCUUAGUAAUGAAUCCUAAUGGGGUAGGGGUAACAUUACCAUUUUACCCCAAUUAUUGAUUAUGGAUCAUGGUUUGGAACCCAAUUGCUAAUUGGGUGAUAUUUUGGUAUUGCUAGCUCGAGGGUUUGUAAGGGCAGCAGCUAAGGAUUUCUUGUAGUGUGCUUCAGCAUUCGAGGUGAGUCUCUCCACUGUUGUAUGGGUCGAAGGCACCAAUGCCAGCCCAUUUGGUUUAGGUGUUGAAGUAAGACCCGGGGUUAAGCCCUUGGCAUUAUGUAUGAAAGACCAGGAGGCGACUCUAGGCACACUAUAUGCAAGACCAAAAUUUGAACUCUAGCAAGUAGUUAUAUAAGUAGUAUAGUUUGUGUGCUAGUUGUCUUUGUGAUGCUUGCAUGGAAGACCAGGAGGUAGCUCUUGGCACUUGUCUGUAAGACCCAGGGUUGUGGCCCCUGGGCUGGCAAGAAAGACCAUGAGGUGGCUCGUCGCAUAAUGGCAAGACUAUGGUUGGCACAUAGCACUCUCAUUGAUUAUGGUAUAUGAUUGAUAUGUAUGGCUCACGGUUAUGUAUGUCAUGUAUGGAUCGUUUCAUAUGUAUGGUAUGUGGUAUUUGGGGAAGUCACUAAACUUUGUGCUUACGAUUUUUAGUUUAUGUUUCAUGUAAUCCAGUUUUUAGAUGAAAGAGCUCGGGACGAUCGCAGCAAUAUGUGAUCUUUGGGAUUGAACUCUGAUAAUUGUGUUCAUUGAAAUACUUUUUAAUGUUUAGAACAAAGUUACAGUAGUGUUUUGAUUAUAAUAAAAAUGAAAUUUUUACCUUGGAAUUUUGGGCUGUUAUGUAAACAAAACACUUCCAACCCUUGAUUAUCUAGUUGCUUUACUGGAUAUCGAAUCACUGACCACUCAUUACUGUAGAACACCCAUACUUGACAGAAGGCUUAGAUUAUCCUUUGAGUAAAAGACUCAUCCCUGCAAUGGUUAGAUUCAAACGAGAGCUGCGUCACAGGGUCGAAUCCAUUACUCUGAGAUUAUUUAAUCUAGGCUGCAAGUGACUUAACAUAUUCCCCAAAUCACAAGCAGUUCCACAGACGAGCCCCAAAUCACUGAUACCAUCCCGGGCUCAUCUUGAUGCCCCCUAGCAGCUUUCCAAAAGCAACUGUCCCAACUUACCUGCUAAACAACCGAUUCACUGGAUUUCCAUCUGCUUACUAAGACAUAUAGUCUUACAUAGUUGCACCAUACGCCUUCCGAAUGAAGGCCUCAUAUGAAAAGCAUUUCUCUAGCGAUCUCGUUGUUAUGGCUCCAACAACCUUCCUAACCCAACCAAUCAUAACGAAGCGCCAAGCCUGACGCAACCAAAUCCAAUACUAAUAGUGAAUGCUACAUGACCACCCAUAGACUUAGAUCACAACCGGCCUCAUACGACCCACCACUUCCUUAAUUCCAUGAAUGUUGUGGCCCUCCCACAUUCUUACAAACUGACCUUCCCUGGUCCAAUCCCAUUUGAAGAAAUCUACAAGCCAAAGAAUAUAUUUGACAUGCCCUCACCACUACUCAAGGACCAGUGAAUACUAUGGGCCACCCCACAGUCUUACAACACUCCAACACUAUCUUCUAACCUAGUGAAUGCUACAUGCCACACCGCAGUCUGAAACACUCCCAUCUUGCCAUGGCCACCACCCAUGGUCUUACCGCUCAUCUACUAAUCCAUCCAUACUCAUCCUGAGUUGAACACAACCUGCAAAAGAUCAGAACGUACCCAAGAAUCCUCAUCCCAUAGGCUUCCUAGAUUCUCUAAAACUCUCCCCGAUUCAAGUAUGGAUCUUUUUCUUUCUGUAGUAUGGGCUCAAUACUACCUUCCACACAUGUCCAUACUUUCCUCAAGAAUCAUCUUGAAUCCUCCAAGUCACCUUCUCAAACUAAUACUCCAAGCACUCGCUAAACAGUGCAACAAAACCUACUGAAACAUUUCUGAGGCUUUCCUAGGUUCCCGACCUUACCCUCCCAUGACCUGCUAAAGAACUCCACGAAAUUUUAGUUAGCUACCUUAUGAAUACAAUCACGUGCAACAAAGCUCAUAUAAUCCUUCGAGUAAAAGACCCAUCCCUACAACGGUUAGACUCAAACGAGAGCUGCGCAAUAGGCUCAAAUCCAUCAUUCUAAUAUUAUUCAGCAUUCAUUGCAUGUGACUUAACAUAUUCACUUAAUAGCUAACCCACAUCACUUAAGAGUCCCACAAAGCACAAAGCAAUCAACAUUCGUGCAGUAGCACCCCGAUCCAUAGAAUAACCAAAGAACAUCCAAACUCACAUACUACAACUCAUGCUAGAAACUUCCACUCUCACUGUCGGUUGCCUUAUGCAUGUAGAUUAUACACAAUACAUGAUCAAAUAGACUAUCGAAUAAAAGACUCUACUCUAGGACCACAACUAAAGAAGCUCUAAUACGGAACCCAAACCCGCCGAUGCAGAGUCAACAACCCACAGUUAUCAUAAUCGAAGGAAGCCACCUGACCCACAAUACGCUCAAUCUUCUGGUUCUCUUCCUUCAUAGCCUCGACCUGAGCCUCACGAAUCCGCACCAAUAGUGGAGUAAUCACAGUCAUCCUUAAACAUAUGUCUCUGAUUAUAGUUGUGAACACUUUGCGGCUGAGAGCAUUGGCCUUCCAUGGGUGAUGAAGGAUCUCACAAUCAUAAUCCUUCACCACAUCCAACCACCGGCGCUUCCUCAUAUUUAGAUUCGGCUGAUCCAUCAUAUACCUCAGGCUCUUGUGAUCUGUGUAAAUGGUACAACGAACCCCAUAGAGGUAAUGCCGUCAAAUCUUGAGGGGGAAAACCACAUCCCCCAGCUCCGAGUCAUGUAUCGGAUAAUUCGCCUCAUAAGGCUUCAGCUGCCUCGAAACGUAAAUGAUCAUGCGACCCCUCUGAUUCAAUACUGCUCCUAAAACCGAGAUCGGCACAUUGGAAUAAACCACAAAAUCCUCAACACCCUCCGGCAAGGUAAAAAUUAGUGCCUCGCAUAACCGCUGUCUCAAUGUCUCAAAUCUACCUUCUGCUCAGGCCCCUAGCAAAAAGUAACUGUGUUCUUUAUCAACCGAGUCAAAGGAACAUCUAUCUUAGAGAAAUCCUGGAUGAAUCUCCGAUAGUAACCUGCUAAACCAUGGAAACUCCAAAUCUAAGACAGAUUUCUCGGAACCUACCACUGCAUUAGAGCCUCGACCUUGGUCGGAUAUACUAGAAUUCCAUUCUAGUUGACAAGGUGCCCCAGAAACUACACCUCACCCAACCAAAAUUCACACUUUGAGAACUUUGCGAAAAGUCUCUCCCUCCUUAACGUCUCCAAAACUUCCCUUAAUUGCUCCUCAUGCUGCUCUUGAGUAUUGGAAUAGAACAAGAUAUCAUCGAUAAACACAAUCGCAGACCGGUCCUGCGUCGGCCUGCAUACACGGUUCAUGAGAUCCAUCAAUGCGACUGGAGCAUUGGUGAGCCCAAAAGACAUCACCAUGAACUCGUAAUGACCAUAACGAGUUCGGAAGGCUAUCAUCUACAAAUCCUCAUCUCUAACACUCAUCUGAUGGUAACUCGAUCGUAAAUCAAUCUUGGAGAACCAAGAUGCACCCUAAAGCUAGUCAAAAAGAUCAUCAAUCCUUGGGAGUGAGUAUCGUUCUUCACCGUUACCUUAUGCAACUCAUGGUAGUCAAUACACAUACGAUGAGACUCAUCCUUCUUCUUCACAAAGAAGAUUGGUGGUGCCCAAGGCGAACUGCUUGGUCGAAAGAAUCCCUCGUCUAACAACCCCUGCAACUGUGUAGACAAAUCUUGCAUCUCAGGAGGAGCCAACCGAUACGGUGCUCUAGAUACUUGAGCCACACCAGGAACCAGAUCAAUCCUGAACUCAACCUUACUUAUGGAGGUACCCCAGGCGAAUCCUUCGGAAACACAUCUGGGUAAUGCCUCACAAUAGGAACAUCAUUCACGAUCGCCUUACCCUUAUCCCGGGUAUCCAAAACAAAGACAACAAAUCUAGAACAACCCUAGUGAAUAUAGCAUCUGGCCCUCGCUAUUGAACACAAAAUCAGCCAACGCUAAGCUCUCUCUCUCUCUCUCUCUCUCUCUCUCUCUCUCUCCAUUAACCACUAAAUCUCCCAUACUUGGGGUUCGAACCCAAACUAACUGCUACUCACAACUGAUCACCACCCCAUUAGGACUCAACCAAUCCAUACCCAUAAUAACCUUGUUCACAUGCAUAGGGAAGGGAACCAAAUCGACGAAACAUUGAUCACUGAAUAACUGAAGAGUACAACCUUGAUGAACCCUCGCAACCCAAACAAAUCUAUCAUCUACAAUCUCGACAUCUAGAGGAAAAUCCGGCUCCCCGAAGUUCUAAAAAACCUCUUGCUAAGCGCAAGUGAUACAAAGGAUCAGGUAGCCCCCGAAUAAAACUAUACCAACGCAGAAAUACCAUUUACGAGGAACGAUACUAAAAUGAAACACAUAAAUAUAAGCAAUCAAUUCAAUAUAAAUAAACAUAUAAGGUGAAGAUACAUACCCGUCACCACGUCGAGAGUUGCACAAGCCUCUUCAGCUGUCAGCUAAAAAGACCUGAUCUUCACCAUAGGUGCAUCCUCCCAGCCCUGGCGGCCAUCAGUAAUCCGAAGAGUUUCAGGAUCGGGUGUUAACACUGUUCCCGCUAAAGCUAAAUUCGGACAAUGGGCCUUCUUGUGGCCCCUCUUAUUGCAAUGAAAGCCAAUCAGAUCAUAUAUCGGGGUGGUGGUGGUAGCACCAUUGCAAUCGCUGCUAAUAUGACCAGUCCGGCCACACUUGAAGCAACCAGAACCACCCACCCUGCACGCCCCAUUGUGCAUCCUACUGCACUUGCCACAACGGUCCCGACCAAACUGGUCCUUCCCUCUCGCAUCAACAACCUUUGGGCCUUUUUCCCGAACCCCCCGAUACCUGAGCCUCAUCGGACUUCCUCUUCCUAUCCAUAUUGAGAUCAAUCUCCCUCUCCCUAGCCCUCACUAUCAUAUCCUCCAGCGUCUUGCAGCUGGAUCGGCUCAAAAACUGCCUAAUAUCAGUCCUCAACAUCUCAUAAUACCUAUCCUUCUUCAUCGCCUCAUCUGCCACAUACUGCGGAACCAAAAGUGCCCUCUCCUGAAACAUCACGGUGAUCUCAGCCACCAUCUCAGUAGUUUGGCGGUGAUCCAGAAACCCUUGUGCCAACUGAUGCACCUCAAUCACCUGUGCAAACUCAGUUCUGAACCUGGUCACGAAAUCAUCCCAUGACAUUGUAUCAAUAGCUUGGUCACCAACUAUAUGUCCCACCUCCUACCACAAAUCUUGUGCCAUGUCUUUCAGAAGAUAGGAAGCAAGUGUGACAUUUGCCCACUCGGGGAAACUGUUGGUGUGGAAGGCGUUAGCAGCAUCCACUAACCACCUCUUACUCGAUAUCAGGUCCUUCACCCCAUAAUAGUCUGGAGUUCCACAUGAUCGGAACUCCCUGAAGUUCAAUGAACGUGCCCCAACCAAGGCCACAAUCUUAGAAUGAAAAGAGCUCAAACGCUCAUCCAGAAUCUCCAGAAUACCCUCCAUGACUGUGCUAAGGAUCACAGGAGUCUGUUCAAGAAUACAACAUGGAAUUGUUGGAUUUAAUGUCUCAUCCCAUAACUAUAAUUGGUAUGUACUUGACUCGAGAUUAGUAUGGUCCAUUUGGGUUGCAUGGCACCGAAAUAAUUUGUAAGGAUGGACGUAUGAGGAGAGGAUAUGUAUGAUUUGUUAAUGUAAUAUAAGUUCUAAUAUAUUAAUGUGAAAUAAUAUUAUUUAAUUAGUAUUUAUCAAGAAUUAAUUUGGAAUUAAUUUUGUGAUCAGAAGAGACUAAUUAAAUAUAAGGGGUUGAUUUGGUAAAUCAUUCAUUCUUAUAAAGUGGGCUUAUGAUCCAUAGUUCUUUAUGUUGGGCUAAACCCAUGUGGUGACCCAUGGAUAAUCCAUGUAUGUUUAACCCAUGGAGCAUGAGGGAUAUGGAAGGUCAUUAGGGUUUACAUGGUGUAACCCUAGUUUGCCACAUUAUAUAAGAGACCAAGGCUACCAAAAUUGGCACCUAAAUGAACUUAGAAGAGUGUUAGCUGAUUUUGUGAAGCAAAGAAUUCUCUCUCAAAUCUUCCAUUGUUGGUGGUGUUGUGUGAAGCAUUUGAGGCAUCACACUUGGGGUGCUAGGCUCUUAAAGGCUUAUGGUUUCAAGCUACAACAAAAGGUAUGUCAUUCAACUAGACUUUUGUAGUGUAUAUACUACAUAGUAUGCUAGUUAGGAUGAUGCCUUGUAAAAUUGAAAGUUUGCAUGUAUAAUAGAGAAAACAUAGAUCCAAGGUAUCUAGGGUUGCAUGUACACCUUAGGAGUGUUAGAAUGCUCAUAACCCUUCAGUGGUAUCAGAGCCUAGCCUUGUUUUCCAUUAUACUUGAUGCUACUUGUUUUCAAAGCUUGAAAGAUCGAUUGUAUGCUGUCUGGAGAGUGAACUCGCCGAGUCUACUGGGGAACUCGACGAGUCCAUCCUAUAAACUGACCAACUCGCCGAAUCAGUUCAUGCACUCGACGAGUUGGUGUUCCAUAAUGCAUAUUUUCAAGAUUUUAAGCUGGAAUUGAAUUAGGAUCAUUACCCUAAACUGUUUUUAAACUUAUAAACCUGUUUUUGAUUUUGUAAUGAUCAUGCUUAUCCAAUUCAAAAGAUAAUUGUCAAAGUUUCAUGUUUUGUAUUAGUUUAUAAGAUUAGGCUAAUUACAUGAAAUUUUUUUGAUAUGAAAUGUCUUGUUCAUAUGAGUUUAAUCUAUAUCAUGGACAUUACUUGACAUGCUUGUUAGUUUAAUUGAUGAUCUUAAUGGCCUUUGAUGUGCUCCAUAACUUGUCCUCAGGUUAUGGAAAAUGAAAAGUCACUUCUUUAAAAGGCCUAAAAACUCAUAGGUUAUGGACUUGAAAGUUUUGACAAGUUUCAAAACUUGCCCUCAAGUUUUGGAAUUUGUAAAGUCACUUUAGAAUACUUUAAUUCCAAACCCUAGAAUUUUAAAAGUUUAAAAUNAGUUAAAAUUCAACCCUUAUACUUUAAAGUAUUAUAAGUUAAUAAUAUAUAUAUAUAUAUAUAUAUGUGUGUGUGUGUGUGUGUGUGUAUAAGAUCAAGUCAGUCUUACCCUUAGUAGACCUCAUUCACGAAGCCGGUCUAUAAGGGAGCAUAAGGUUACUACCUAUAAAAUGGCAGUUUAAUGGGUGUCCACUCUCAUCCACCACUUCCUUGACUGGUGGAGGGUUGUUAGCCGAAUGGGUAGGAUAGGACUAUAAUUUUCAUUAAGUAUAAUGAUAACAAGGUAACUAAAUGAUUUAUUAAAUUCCCAAUCUUAGUUACUUUAGUAAAAUGUGAACUUGAUGUUAAUCCAUGAAAAUUGCACUUUGCACCUUACCAAAUCGUUGAUGGAGCGUGUGUGGUUAACCGGCACAUUAAUUUGGAUUAGUAAGGGUGGCAAAGGGUGGCUCGAUGUUUGUCAUAAGAUCAAUGGAGUGUGUGUGGUUAACCGGCACAUUGAUUGGUUGACAAAGUCGAGAGUACCAAGAACAUUUUGCAUGGUUAUUCACACCUUGUUUGUGAUCCUCUGUAUCCUAGUCACAAACCUGAAGGGUAUAAGCGAGAUUUAAACAUGCCAUUGAAUUGUUCAAUGAACGUCAAAGGAUCUAGGAGUUUCAAUCCAAUUAAACUUAAUAAGAAUUUCGUUUUUUCAUGGUGGAAAUUGGUAAAUCGUCAUUUACCUACCUUCAAAUAUUUUUGCAAGUUAGAUUACGACAUCCCUCUUCCAAUUUGUAAAAUAUUGUGUUGGGUCCUAGCCUUAAUAUUUCAUUUGGGUGCUAUAUUAAGGAGUCUUUAUCUAAUCUAAACUUGUCUUUCUUUCCUUUUCAGAUGUCUUCCAACACUGCUUCUGGCUCAAACCCAAUUGGCUCUUUCUCUCUCAUGAACCUUUGUAGGAGAGCCAUCUUUGAUGAUUCCAACUUCAAUGAUUAGAUUAGGAACAUUAGGAUGGUCACUCACUAUGAGGGCAAGGAAUAUGUCCUCGACUAGGAGCUAAAGGAAAUUGAUGAGUCUUCUACUACUCCUAAGGAGAUUGCUGAGUUUAGGGCACAUGAGAGGGAUGUCACCAAGGUAGCUUGUAUCAUGUUGGCCACUAUGUCAGCUUAACUCCAAAAGUCCUAUGAGGACUUCUACCAUUUUAAGAUGCACCAGGACCUGAUGGAAAGAUACCAUCAGAGUGCUCAUCAAGAGAGGUAUGAAAUCAUCUCUUCCACGAUAACAACCAGGAUGAAGGAUGGUGAACCCAUCACGGGCUACUUGCAGAAAAUGCAAAGGUGUAUGGACCAAUUGAUAAAGUUGAAUGUGAACUUCCUUGAAGAGCUGGCUAUAGAUAUCAUUCUACACUCCUUACCUCCAUGUUAUGAUCAGUUACGAAUGACCUAUCAUAUGAACAAGGAUGAGGUCACACUUAGCACACUUCAAGGGCUUUUCAGGAUUGCUGAAAGUGGUCUCAAAGGAAAUUUGGUUGUUACUACUCCUACCACCGCCCCUGUUCUGGAAAUUGGACAAGGGAAAGUCUCUUGAUGGAUCCUCUUCAAGUGGGACCAAGGUUGGUUCUGCUGCUCCCUCUUCUAUUCCUAAGGAAGCAGAGUGUUUCUACUGUCACGAAAAAGGGAACUGGAAGUGAAGCUGUCCCAACUACUUGCAGGAUGUUAAAGAUGGGAAGGUUAAGGCCACCCAUCCAGGUAUUUAUACUAUUCUAUCUUAAAACUUAUCACAUUCUAACUCUUGGGUUCUUGACAUAGUUUGUGGAUUUCACAUUUGUUCUGAUGUCCAAGGCCUAAAAAGAAGUAAGGAUGUGGAGCACGGGAAGAUAAACUUGAUCAUGGGGAAUAGGAAGGUUUCACCUGUCACCAAGAUUGGAGUUUACUCUUUAUUUCUUAGUAGUGGGUUAGAAAUAGAUUUGAAUAAUUGUUGCUACUUGUCAGAUAUGGCGAUAAAUAUUAUUUCCUUUCAUGAUUUGUAGAAACAAUGUAACAUCCGGAUUUUCAGGGUUAUUAUUAUGUAGUUUAAUCUUUUGAUUAGAGGAGAGACUCGAUGAGUUGAAGAUCCAACUCACCGAGUCGAGUCGGGCUUCUCACACGGAUUUAAGGAGUGGACUCGACGAGUCAGAGGAGGGACUCGCCGAGUAGGUGUUGGGCAGAGAAACCCUAAUU
Molecule: long non-coding RNA, 42542 nt
Filed under: Lactuca sativa (garden lettuce)
Lineage: Eukaryota; Viridiplantae; Streptophyta; Magnoliopsida; Asterales; Asteraceae
Description: long non-coding RNA (LSAT_LNC000441)
Source: RNAcentral